This 465-nucleotide ribosomal RNA is filed under the name uncultured bacterium. RNAcentral describes it as "partial 16S ribosomal RNA". It matches the Rfam family "Bacterial small subunit ribosomal RNA", at positions 338 to 795 of the family's 1533-position model. The record is from RNAcentral.
CCUACGGGCGGCAGCAGUGGGGAAUAUUGCGCAAUGGGCGAAAGCCUGACGCAGCGACGCCGCGUGAGGGAUGAAGGUCUUCGGAUCGUAAACCUCUGUCAGCAGGGAAGAACGGUCACUGUGCUAAUCAGCAGUGAAUUGACGGUACCUGCAAAGGAAGCACCGGCUAACUCCGUGCCAGCAGCCGCGGUAAUACGGAGGGUGCGAGCGUUAAUCGGAUUUACUGGGCGUAAAGCGAUCGUAGGCGGUAUGUCAAGUCAAGGGUGAAAUCCCCGCGCUCAACGGGGGAACUGCCUUUGAAACUGGCAAACUGGAGUGUGUGAGAGGAUAGUGGAAUUCCAGGUGUAGGAGUGAAAUGCGUAGAUAUCUGGAGGAACAUCAGUGGCGAAGGCGACUAUCUGGCACAUAACUGACGCUGAGGAGCGAAAGCGUGGGUAGCAAACAGGAUUAGAUACCCUAGUAGUC